This 253-nucleotide ribosomal RNA is filed under the name uncultured bacterium. RNAcentral's name for it is "partial 16S ribosomal RNA". It matches the Rfam family "Bacterial small subunit ribosomal RNA", at positions 524 to 776 of the family's 1533-position model. The record is from RNAcentral.
UACAGAGGGGGCAAGCGUUGUUCGGAAUUACUGGGCGUAAAGGGCGCGUAGGCGGCCUGUUAAGUCGAACGUGAAAUCCCCGGGCUCAACCCGGGAACUGCGUCCGAAACUGGCAGGCUCGAAUCCGGGAGAGGGAUGCGGAAUUCCAGGUGUAGCGGUGAAAUGCGUAGAUAUCUGGAGGAACAUCGGUGGCGAAGGCGACUUCCUGGACCAAUACUGACGCUCAGGUGCGAAAGCGUGGGGAGCAAACAGG